GACGAACGCUGGCGGCGUGCCUAAUACAUGCAAGUCGAGCGAAGUUUUUCUGGUGCUUGCACUAGAAAAACUUAGCGGCGAACGGGUGAGUAACACGUAAAGAACCUGCCCCAUAGACUGGGACAACUAUUGGAAACGAUAGCUAAUACCGGAUAACAGUAUUUCUCGCAUGAGAGAUAUUUAAAAGUUGGUUAUGCUAACACUAUGAGAUGGCUUUGCGGUGCAUUAGCUAGUUGGUGGGGUAAAGGCCCACCAAGGCGACGAUGCAUAGCCGACCUGAGAGGGUGAUCGGCCACACUGGGACUGAGACACGGCCCAGACUCCUACGGGAGGCAGCAGUAGGGAAUCUUCCGCAAUGGACGAAAGCCUGACGGAGCAACGCCGCGUGAGUGAAGAAGGAUUUCGGUUCGUAAAGCUCUGUUGUUAGGGAAGAAUGGAUAUGUAGUAACUAUACAUGUAAGAGACGGUACCUAACCAGAAAGCCACGGCUAACUACGUG
This 499-nucleotide ribosomal RNA is filed under the name uncultured bacterium. RNAcentral's name for it is "partial 16S ribosomal RNA". It matches the Rfam family "Bacterial small subunit ribosomal RNA", at positions 28 to 507 of the family's 1533-position model. The record is from RNAcentral.